ACGCUCGACACUACGGGGCAGCAGUGGGGGAUAUUGCACAAUGGGGGAAACCCUGAUGCAGCAACGCCGCGUGAAGGAAGAAGGUCUUCGGAUUGUAAACUUCUGUCCUCAGGGAAGAUAAUGACGGUACCUGAGGAGGAAGCUCCGGCUAACUACGUGCCUGCAGCCGCGGUAAUCUGAGCGGGCUGGCAAGGC
RNAcentral lists this ribosomal RNA (195 nucleotides) under uncultured bacterium. Its description in RNAcentral is "partial 16S ribosomal RNA". It matches the Rfam family "Bacterial small subunit ribosomal RNA", at positions 326 to 539 of the family's 1533-position model. The record is from RNAcentral.